Long non-coding RNA from Benincasa hispida (wax gourd), 788 nucleotides. RefSeq lists it as uncharacterized. Lineage: Eukaryota; Viridiplantae; Streptophyta; Magnoliopsida; Cucurbitales; Cucurbitaceae. The record is from RefSeq and is a predicted model, not a curated record.
GUUUAUUUCCUUAUUUAUUAUUUUUUCUUCUUGUUUUUUUCGUUUUUUUCGUUUUCCCCUUCUUCUCAUGCAAAGCAACCCACCCAACCUUUCUUCUCCGCGUCGUCCACCACCGACCCAGCCUUCGCGCCGCUCGCCCUCCUUCAUGCCGCUCGUCGCGCCAUUGCUUCCUCCCAACCGCUGAAGUCAACGCCGAGUCACAGAUCUGAGACGCACGUCCUAACUGUCUCAGACGUAGAUCCAGCCGCUCGCUCUCGUCCUCUGUGUCGAAUCCGCCGGAAAAGCCAGAUCUGAAGUGUCGCCUCGCCGUUCGCGACCCGGCAUCGCCCCUCCUUCAGUCGAAUGGAUCCAACUCCCACCAGCCGCUCGCCGCUCGACGGCGAGCUUCAAACGCCUGCCUCUCUCUCUCACUGACCCACGAAUCUAUAGCUUGCCGCCUUCGAUUGCGAGUCGUUGCUACCUAGGUUGUGCGACUUCACUUCGACACCGCCGCCAAGCAGAAUGUCAUCGCCACUCGCCGGAUCUAUUAGUUUGGAUACAAAGUUUGGAGGGAUUUUAAAGUCUUAUGGGUGCUACCGUAAAGUUAUGAGUUUCGUCAAUUUUGGAUGAAUUCAAAGUCUUCCAAGAGUUGUAAGAAGGUUAAUUACUUGGAUUAAUUUGUGACCAAAUUUGAGGUAAGUAAUCUUACUACGGGAAACUGCCCACGGGCCAGGCACUAGAUGUAUGCUAGCAUGAUAAAUGGAUUUUAUAACAGAACAAUAGCAUGAUAGACUGAUAGUAUAGUAUAA